Molecule: long non-coding RNA, 4391 nt
Filed under: Solanum lycopersicum (tomato)
Lineage: Eukaryota; Viridiplantae; Streptophyta; Magnoliopsida; Solanales; Solanaceae
Description: long non-coding RNA (SLYC_LNC000562)
Source: RNAcentral
AAAACGUGGAUAGAAUUUCUGUCUUUCAACAGUAUGCAAAAGCUGGAACAACUGUUUCCUUCUUGCUAGCCUACACAGUUCUGGUACUGUACGGAUGCCGCUCUUCUGUUUGUGAUGGUAACGCAUAGUUGGACACACAAGUGAACUGGUAAAGCUCCCAUUAAUUCCUGAAUUAUUAACAAAUACUUGAAACAAUUAGAGCCACUAGGAUAAUCCUAACCACCAUAAAUCUAGAGCUUCUUAAUAUGUGUUUGUGUGAGUGGUUUUUUUUUCCAGCAAACUUAUCUGAUGCUAAAAGAUAAUAAAAAACCACGCAACAAAUGGAACCUCUGUAUAUAUACGCCAACAAAUAUAAAGAAGAGUCUAGUGAUUAGGUUACUCCCUCUGUUCCCCAGAUAAUUCUUACUAUUUAGAAUAAAAAUUGAAUGGUUGAACAGAGAAGUUGCUACCAGGGUGUUGUAUGAAAUGGAGAAAAUAUUACCAGGGAGUUGUGUGAAAUGGAGAAGUUCUGCACCUUAAAUAACCAAGUAGCCGCUUCAUAUUAACAAGGCCGGCUCCACUAUAAGGCCACUAAAGCAAUGGCUUGGAGCCUGACUUUCUUGUUUGGUGGGGGGUGGGGGGAUCUUUCCUAAAGAUGUAUUCCAAUAUAUAUUGUUAAGAAAAUCUUAUGUCCAGUUAAAAUUUGAAAAGAGAAAUGGAAAAGUUUUCAAUGAUCGUAGUAUCCUUUCUUACAUGGCUAACCAUUUUUUUGCCUCAUUUAUAUUUUGAUGAUUUACAUGAACUCACAUUAUUAUUCCUAUAUUUACUUUUUACAUUCCCCUUUCGCAGUAUUUACUCACUUAUUAUUGAACAUUUUGAAGUCCCACAAACGGUCAAAUCUUCUGCAUUAUGCAAAAUCUUUUUUUUUUUAAAUAAAGAUAAUGUUAAAUGUAUUGUUGUUAUUUAACAAAAAAGAUUAAAUUUACUUUUUGGUGUCUUGUUCAAAUUUCAAGCACUGCAACAAGUCAAAAACCAUUUCAAUAUUAUUAUAUCAACUUAUCAAAGUCCGCGCAACACUAUUUUGAUAUCAUUAUAUCAACUUCUCAAAUUCCAGAGCUAGAUUUUAUUGUUCGAACUUUAUAUAAUAUCUUUUGUUGAAAAUCUGCAUCGUUUACAUACUUAUUUCAUAAGGUUUGCAUCUAGAUGUCACAUGUAGAAUUGUUAUUCAAUUUAUAUAUGUCAACUAGAAAAAACUAAGGUUCCUCUAUGAAGUUUGGGCCCCCAAUCUUGUUGAGACUGUGAAAAAUAUUGGAGAAAAUAUUAUUGAAUUGUGUGUCUCAAUUAUACAGAGACCCUAUUUAUAAACACUACAAUGUAAUUCUUUACCAAGUAAGAUACUAUUAACUAUUUAUACUUUUAUUCCUAAUCCUCUUCUAAGUAGGAUCAUAUAUACCUAUUCCUAUUCUAACUAGGAUUCUAACACUCCCCUCGAGUUGAAGCAUACAAGUCAUAUGUACUUAGUUUGUUACAAAUAUAAUUAAUAUGAGGUCCGGUAAGGAACUAGGUGAAGAUAUCUGCAAGUUGAUCACUUGACUUCACAAUUCUUUUGUAACAAUAUCUCCUGGGACUAUAUUUUUCUUGACAAAAUGAUAAUCAAUCUCAAUGUUCUUAGUCCUCUCACGAAAUACUAAAUUUGAUGCGAUAAGAAGGCUCGCUUGAUUAUCACACACAAGUUCUAUCUAAUAGAUUGCUCCAAAUUUUAGUUCUCCCUUUGAGCCAAACUAGCUCACAAGUUGCUACAGCCAUUGCUCGACAUUCUGCUUUUGCACUCGAUCGAGCAACCACACUAUGUUUCUUACUUUUUUCAGGACACCAAAUUACCUCCUGCUAAAACACAAUAUCCAGAUUAGAAUGUCUAUCAGAGGGUGAUAUUGCCCAAUCAGCGUCUAUAUAUCCAAUGAUAUGCUCAUAGCCUUGAUUCUCGAAGAGUAAUCCUUUACUUAGAGCUGACUUUAUAUAUCUUAAAAUGUGAAUUGCAUCUCAAUGACUAUUAUAUGUGGAAGUCAUAAACUGACUUACAACACUCAUGCCAAAAGAGAUGUCAGGUCUAGUCACGAUGAGAUAAUUCAAUUUACCAACCAGCCACCUAUACCUUCCAUGAUCACUAAGUGGCUUCACCUAUUGUGGCGAGAGUUUAGCAUUCGGAUCUAUAUGAGUGUCAAUUGAGCUACUACCAUCAUUUUUGUCUCCUUGAGAAUGUCUAAGUCAUAUUUGCGUUUAGACAUAACAAUACCUAAUUUAGACUGAGAAACUAUAAUACCUAUAAAAUACUUUAAUCUGCCAAGGGUCUUUCGUCCAAAAAUGCUGAAAAAGAUGUUUCAAACUAGUAAUACCUUCUUGAUCAUUGCCAGAGAUAACAAUAUUGUCAACAUAGACCACCAAAUAAAUACACAAAGUUGGUGAAAAAUGUCGAUAAAACACAUAAUGAUCAGCUCCACUACGAGUCAUGUCAAACUCCAAAAUUACUACUGAAUUUACCAAACCAAGCUCAAGGAGGUUGUUCCAGACCAUACCGCGCAAUCAACAUACAAGGUUACUAGGCUCCGCCUAGCAACAAAACUAAGUGGUGCUCCAUAUAGACUUCUUGCUCAAGAUCAUCGUGAAAGCAUUCCUAAUGUCUAACUGAUGAAGAGGCCAAUGAUGACCUAAAGCUAUAGAUAGAAAAAGACGUAUAGAUGCUACUUUAGCCAUGGGAGAGAAAGUGUCACCAUAAUCUAGCCCAAAUAUUUAAGUAUACCCUUUGGCAACAAGGUGAGUCUUAAGCCGAUCAACUUGAACAUCAGGACCAACUUUGACUGCAUAAACCCAACGACAACCAACAGCAGAUUUACUUGUAGGAAGCUAUGUGUCUCAGAUUCACCAAAAGUAGUUUAUUUUUGGAGAACCCGACACGGGUACAACAUCAAAAGUGAAGAGUCCGUGCAACUAAGGUAGGAAGGGAAACAAGCUCCCAAGUACCACUCGUAUGUAAAGCAGACAUUUCAUCAAUCACAGUCUACCUCCAUCUUGGAUGAGAAAGUGUUUCACCUAGACUGCCUCCAUCUUGGAUGAGGAAGUGUUUCACCUAAACUGCCUCCAUCUUGGAUGAGAAAGUGUUUCACCUGUGGUCUUAGGAAUGAAUGUAGAAGAUAGAGAUGAUAUAAAGGCAUAAUGAAGUGAUGAUAGAUGAUGAAUAACUCAAGAAAGUAUAAUGCGGGGUAGCAUUUCGAGUGGAAAGUAUACCCUUUUGAAGUGCAAUUGGUUAGCUAGGAUAAGGCAACUCAAAAGUAGGAAUAAGGUUUGACGCAUAACAUGAAUCAUCAGGGACUAAUGUUGGACACAAAUGACAAUGAUAAGUUAGGAGCUAUGGCGUUGCAGCGGGCGACAUAGAAGCAACCGUAGAGUCCUCAAAAUUUGGUACAUGUAAGAACUGAGGUAUGGACACGGGAGACAUAGAAGUAACAAUACUCCUCAAAAGUUGGUAUAGGUAAGAUGUGAGGUAUGGGUAAGACUUCAGCGACAUCAACAUAAUCAGAAGAUGAAUAGUAAGGUUGAGAUUCAAAGAAUGUGACAUCGGCAGACAUAAGGUUGCGACAAAGAUCAGGUGAAUAGCAACGAUACUCUUUUUGAGCUCAAAAGUAAUCAAGAAUAGUUAAGUUAGCGAUUAUGAUUAAACCAUAAGUGCUUGAUCAUCUUAACAACACGAAAUGUUUAAGUUAGUAAUUAUCAUUCUACUACUUAAAUUUUCCAUGCUCUCGAUACUAGUCAAGAACUUUCAUUUCCUAUGCACAACAUUUUCAUUCUCAUAAACUGGGUUUAAAAGCACAAAAGAAUAUCAAUAUCAAUCAUUAUAGUGAGGAAAGCUUAUACUAUCUAUGAACUGCAGAUUUACAGAAAGGGGUGAUUACCAGAUCAAAGGUUUUUACCAGGCCUGUCAUCUGAAGAGUUGUUAGUGGGUGCACUCUCUACAUGAACAAAUGUUUGAAUAGUUUUAGAUUCCUUAAGUUUUGAUAUUCUAUGUACAUAGAUCGAAUAGUUUGUACAACCACUUGAAAGUUUGGGAUGCAUUUCAGAACACAGACAUGAAUGUAAAUUAUUGUUGGCUAUCUCGCAGCAAGAUUGUCAGUAUUUGAUGAUCUCGGGAUUUUUGCAGAUAUGUAACAUGAGAUAAAAUAUGCAUCAACAAGCAGUCAAAUUUGAUCAACAGAUGGAGAUUAAAUAUGCUCCAACACAGAGUCAGCAUAGAUAGAAAUGAGAGAUCAAGUACACAAAGCUAUACACUUUCUUAAUCAAAAAAAGAAAAUUUAAGUACAGAAAAACUGAAGGACAUUAAUCAGAAAAAAGAAAACAGACGCAGACAAAAUAUUACCUCC